This 440-nucleotide ribosomal RNA is filed under the name uncultured bacterium. RNAcentral's name for it is "partial 16S ribosomal RNA". It matches the Rfam family "Bacterial small subunit ribosomal RNA", at positions 338 to 795 of the family's 1533-position model. The record is from RNAcentral.
CCUACGGGUGGCAGCAGUGGGGAAUAUUGCACAAUGGGGGAAAGCCUGAUGCAGCGACGCCGCGUGAGGGAUGAAGUAUUUCGGUAUGUAAAGCUCUAUCAGCAGGGAAGAAAAUGACGGUACCUGACUAAGAAGCCCCGGCUAACUACGUGCCAGCAGCCGCGGUAAUACGCCGGGGGCAAGCGUUAUCCGGAUUAACUGGGUGUAAAGGGAGCGGAGACGGUUCUGCAAGCCAGAUGGGAAAGCCUGGGGCUCAACCCCGGGACUGCCUUUGAAACUGUAAGGCUAGAGUGUCGGAGAGGCAGGCGGAAUGCCUGGUGUAGCGGUGAAAUGCGUAGAUAUUAGGAGGAACACCGGUUGCGAAGGCGGCUUGCUGGACUGAAACUGACGCUGAGGCUCGAAAGCGUGGGGAGCAAACAGGAUUAGAUACCCUAGUAGUC